RNAcentral lists this ribosomal RNA (300 nucleotides) under uncultured bacterium. RNAcentral describes it as "bacterial SSU rRNA". It matches the Rfam family "Bacterial small subunit ribosomal RNA", at positions 171 to 489 of the family's 1533-position model. The record is from RNAcentral.
GGAUGUGCUCACCGAGUCGCAUGGCUUGGUGAGGAAAUGGAUUCCGCUUCGGGAUGGCCUCGCGGCCUAUCAGCUUGUUGGUGGGGUAACGGCUCACCAAGGCGACGACGGGUAGCUGGUCUGAGAGGACGAUCAGCCACACUGGGACUGAGACACGGCCCAGACUCNUACGGGAGGCAGCAGCAGGGAAUAUUGCGCAAUGGGCGAAAGCCUGACGCAGCAACGCCGCGUGGGGGAUGAAGGCUCUUGGGUUGUAAACCCCUUUCAGCAGGGACGAUUGUGACGGUACCUGCAGAAGAA